Molecule: small RNA, 583 nt
Filed under: Pongo abelii (Sumatran orangutan)
Lineage: Eukaryota; Metazoa; Chordata; Mammalia; Primates; Hominidae
Description: processed transcript
Source: RNAcentral
UAUUGGGUCCAGUAGGGAAAGGUCAGCAGUACCAUGAGAUUGGCAGAUCCAUGGCCACCAUCAUGACAGAUGAGAUUUUUCAUGACGUAGCAUAUAAGGCAAAAGAGCGAGAUGAUCUCCUGGCGGGGAUUGAUGAGUUCCUAGACCAGGUGACGGUGCUCCCUCCAGGAGAGUGGGAUCCCUCCAUUAGAAUUGAGCCACCCAAAAACGUCCCUUCCCAGGAGAAAAGGAAAAUGCCUGGAGUUCCAAAUGGAAAUGUUUGCCACAUAGAACAGGAACCACAUGGGGGUCACAGUGGGCCAGAACUUCAGCGCACUGGGCGGUUUCUUCCAAAGUAUACCAGACAAAUGGAUGACUGGCUGUUUCUAAAGCCCUCCAGGGAAGGGCUCCUUAAGUCAAUGCUCCAGAGCCUAGUCACCCUCUACACAGCCCAGACCCACAUUAUGAUGUUACUGCUGUAAGCUGAGGAAAGGUGAAUCCCAACUAUACCCACCAGAACCAGAGGAAAAGAGCGGGCUAUUUGGGGGCUUGGUGCUGGACAUCAAGCGGAAGGCCCCCUGGUACUGGAGUGACUACCGGGAUG